AAGCAGACAGAGACAAAAAAUUUCCAUUAGAUUCAUUCCUAAGCUUGCUUUGUUGCAGCAAGAUGAUCAGUCCAGGAGUGCUGGAGAGAAGAGAAAGCGGUAAAAACCUCUCUUAUUCGGUCACCGAGAAGUCGGACGACUCUUCAGUAACCCAGGGUGAUCCGACCCCUUCGACGCUUUUUUCGCUGUAUACCCCCUCCAUCCUUCGGAAGUGGAAGAAAGGGUACUCUAAUUUGAAUACAUAGUAGGGCCCCAGAACGCUAAAAGGUGGGUACCCAGGGUGAUCCGACCCCUUCGAUGCUUUUUUGUUGUAUACCCCCUCCAUCCUUCGGAAGUGGAAGAAAGGAUACUCUAAUUUGAAUACAUAGUAGGUCCCCAGAACACUAAAAGGUGGGGGAACUAGAGUUGUCACGAUAGAAAAGAUAAAUAAAUAAAUGACUAUAAGGAACUAACGACUCUCUCUUCUUAAACAACCUAUAUCCUCCACACUUAAUCAACAUUUGAUAGAUUAUCCAACCCCUAGCAAUCUUAGUUAUUGGUUCGGUUCGUUAGCUGGUAUUUGUUUAGUCAUUCAGAUAGUGACUGGCGUUUUUUAGCUAUGCAUUACACACCUCAUGUAGAUCUAACUUCCAAUAGUGUAGAACACAUUAUGAGAGAUGUUGAAGGGGGCUGGUUGCUCCGUUAUAUUCAUGCUAAAGGGGCAAGUAUGUUUUUCAUUGUGGUUCACCUUCAUAUUUUUUGUGGUCUAUAUCAUGCCAGUUAUAGCAGUCCUAGGGAAUUUGUUAGGUGUCUCGGAGUUGUAAUCUUCCUAUUAAUGAUUGUGACAGCUUUUAUAGGAUAUGUACUACCUUGGGGUCAGAUGAGCUUUUGGGGAGCUACAGUAAUUACAAGCUUAGCUAGCGCCAUACCUGUAGUAGGAGAUACCAUAGUGACUUGGCUUUGGGGUGGGUUCUCCGUGGACAAUGCCACCUUAAAUAUUUUUUAGUCUUCAUCAUUUACUCCCCUUUAUUUUAGUAGG
RNAcentral lists this long non-coding RNA (1018 nucleotides) under Nicotiana benthamiana. RNAcentral's name for it is "long non-coding RNA (NBEN_LNC010853)". The record is from RNAcentral. Lineage: Eukaryota; Viridiplantae; Streptophyta; Magnoliopsida; Solanales; Solanaceae.